Molecule: ribosomal RNA, 253 nt
Filed under: uncultured bacterium
Lineage: Bacteria
Description: partial 16S ribosomal RNA
Rfam family: Bacterial small subunit ribosomal RNA
Source: RNAcentral
GACGGAGGAUGCAAGCGUUAUCCGGAAUGAUUGGGCGUAAAGCGUCCGCAGGUGGCCGUUCAAGUCUGCUGUCAAAGACCGGGGCUUAACUUCGGAAAGGCAGUGGAAACUGAACAGCUAGAGUAUGGUAGGGGCAGAGGGAAUUCCUGGUGUAGCGGUGAAAUGCGUAGAGAUCAGGAAGAACAUCGGUGGCGAAGGCGCUCUGCUGGGCCAUAACUGACACUCAGGGACGAAAGCUAGGGGAGCGAAUGGG